Long non-coding RNA from Salvelinus namaycush (lake trout), 408 nucleotides. RefSeq lists it as uncharacterized. The transcript is spliced from 3 exons. NCBI's taxonomy places the organism in Eukaryota, Metazoa, Chordata, Actinopteri, Salmoniformes, Salmonidae. The record is from RefSeq and is a predicted model, not a curated record.
CAGCGAGGACAAAACAACUAUAGACAUUUACAUACCACUUUGUUUUAAUACUGCAACUUCCGAUCGCUCUGGCAUCAACCUGGGAGGUUGGAGUCAAGUCGGUUUAUCCACCUCUUGCGGCGCAACGUUCAUUUAUACAGACGUUUUGAAGACAUACUUAUUGGUUGUUGCAGUGAAAUAAUGGCACCUUGACCCCGUUCAGUCUAUUCAGUGCUUUGGAGAGAAAAGAAAGGCGACGUUUUGUUCGUCACCAGUGGCCCAUCAAUAGAAGAGAGAGUGAGAGAGAGCGGUGAGAUUCAGCGUUGACUUGGUGGAUGUCUUAAACCAUGAACAACCUGGGACCUCCGAUGAGGCAAGCCAAUGGGGUGGCCAGAUCUGACAGCAAGAUGGGAGCCAAGGCUCUAUACG